CUGAAUGUCCAUUCAUUAUAGUUUUAUUCAUUUUGAGGUGUGCUUCAGUGAUUAGCACUUACAUGCAAAACUAUUCAUGCAAACUGCAGUCCUAAGCCAUUGUAACAUCCGAUUACCCAAAUACAUUCUCAUAGAUCUUUAGUUGCUCAGUAUCUUCCUGGUCUGUUUGUUUUGGAACCAUCUUCAGUAGCACAGAGUGGUCUUUAACUGAACCGAACUGCAUUCAUAGGUAGGGUGUUGAGAUGGAUCAGGCGAAUAAAAAAAAAAAAAAACUGAAGAAAAGGACAGGAUUGCUCCUGUAUGUGUACAGUUAUGUGUACAGUGUAAAAAGGAAUAAAUAAAUAAGUAUUAGUAACGUGCUGGGUGAAUGAAAUGGAAAGCAGUUGACGGAAGGAUGCAGGUUGCUCCUGAGGUCACAGAGUACAUCAAGUGAAGGCCGUAGAUUACACGAGAGCGACUCGCACUCUUAUUGGUUCCCUCUGACAGAAAGGGGCGGGGCUUAAGCAGUAAAUCCGCCUAGAAAAAGUGGGGACAGUGUCCAGAGCCGGGGAGGAUGAUGUUUGUGAGUCUUAUCCUUAGCGCUGCGCUCGGACGGAGCCAGAUGGGCUGCAAAUCCAGCGCAGUUGCCAUCUUUUCCGGCGGUCUGAAUGGAAAUGUGGUGCAAAUAAACCGGGUUAGGCCUAAAAAAAAGAGAGAAAACACGUAUACUACCGCACUAAAGUGUGUAUGAGUUGUAGUAUUAAAAGACACCGUUGAUUCGGGUAGUGUGUGUUGAUAGGGCACGUUAUUUCACUCUCGCCUGGUCCAAAAAAAAGCGCGUCGCCUCUGAAAGUUGGAGACAGCUCGGAAAAACAUUGGAAAAGCCUGGAGAACAUGUCGAGGGUCGCUUUGAAGAACGGCGUCUUGAUGAUCUGAUCAGAAAGGGCGCAUAAACCUCCAGAGGCGAGCCGGUGAACAACACUAGUGAAAGAGGCAGCAAGCUGGAAAAAAGCCACUGACGGCCGACUGAGUGAAGUUGGCGGACCGACAGCGAUGCUCCAAACUCCGGCUCUGCUCGAACCGCGAACUUCUUUGGAACGCGUACUAAUGAGCUGAUUCUGUGCCUCCUGUUACUUCGCUUCUGAAUGUAACCGGAAGUCAGUAAUGUCUGCAGGCCUGCAGAUGUUCUGCAGUUGCAUUAUCUGCCCUGCUAUGUGCCCUUUUGCUCUGGAUUUCUUCUCCCUUUUAGGACAGGGUGUCCUUUAGUUGGCAAAAAAAAGGACACAAUUGAUUAAGUUAUUCCAAGUAGAGUUAAUACUUUGUAGGUUACAAGGAUCCUGGAUACUGAAUAUGACAAAGACCUACUGCUCUAAGAACUUGCAGUCAACUGCAUGUUUAACAAUACUAUGGGCUUUUUUUAAUGCCUUGUAAAAACACAAGGAGUGGAACUGUAUGUCAUUUGUUAUCGUAAGUCAAAUAGUGGGCUCCCUUCGAGUAUGGAAAGUUGGCUUUCUUGGGAGUGUUCCCAUGGAGAUAGGCACACUUCCUGUCUCAGCGUAGGAAUGAGGGAGUCUAGCUUUUCAGAACUGCUUACGCUCGCUCUUCUUUCUUCAAUUAUAUUAGUCGAGGUGACAUAUGAGGGAGUGAUCUAUUAACACCACAAUCGGGAGUUACUCUGUGCUCAUUUUGGUCAGUUUUCUUUAAAGAGUUAUUUUGUUGCAGGACCAGAACCUGGCCUUCCACUUGCAAAUCAAAUGAGCAAUUGGGGCUCUAAAAUGAAACAUUUUGCCUGUUUUUUUUCAUGGGACAAAGUACUCCUGAACUCUGGGAGUUAGUUAGCUCUGUUAAUCAGUGUAUAGGUGACAUGGUUGACUUGUUCUGUUACUGCACAUUUCGUGCCUGGAAUCCGGCCUCUGUGCUUGAAUAAGAAAAUGAGAGCAUAAAAGUACGACCUCUAACAAGGUCAGAAACCUUUCGCUCAUCUGAUCAUUGCUUAGGGCAUGUGUUUGUUCCAAUAAGAAAGAGAUGAAGUGUAGAGAACAAAUACGUGAAUAGAAAUGUGCAUGUGUGUUGUUCUAUAGAGAGAAAGGACAAAAACUUUUCAUUUUUCUUUGUUAUUUAUUAACAUACCUGGUGGUUAUUUGUUACUUGGCUACAGCUACAGAUUAAACUUGGUUUGCGGUCACAGAAGUCAGAUUUAUAACCUUUGCCUUUUAAUAGGUGAUGGCAAUAUGAGCAUAAAUGUAAGGAAGUUACAGUAGAGAAAUGUGGUUUGAGAAUGAUUUAAGCAAGAAUGCUUUGAUGAGGAGGCAAGAAUCAAUAAAAAUGGUCCACACAUAUCAGAAAGUACAGGGAGAUCACAGGAGUCGGACCAUCGGUCUCAUAACCCAGCAUUAUUUAUGGUUCUUAACUUUUACCACACAUUCAUCAUUUUCUUUGAUCUGUGCAUCUGUUUGAUAUUGCUACGGUUAAAGGGAUAGAAACGGAUAAAAUAAGCAAAAAAGUAAGUUUAGGACAGAGGGUGUUGAACUUUUGCACAAAUAGCAUUGAAUCUCUGUGACCUUGAUGUGCCUUUGCUGCAUGUACAAUAAGCUUGGACAAUUAAAGGAAUGAAACAGAGGAGCGCAAGGCGAGCUCUAAUGAAGGACACAGUACAGAAGAAUUAGUUUGCAAUACCAUUGACACUAAGGUUAGUUGUGGCACCAAUCAGAGUAAGAGCACACUUGAGGAAGCAGUGGGUCUCUGGAGUCUGCUUCCUCCUCUUUUUCUCCUUCACCCCUCCCCCUCUGCUGUACUGUGUGCUAUACGGUUGCCAAGUGCUAAGAAUCUGCGGAAUGUGAGUUUGCAGUGUUCUGAUAAAGUUUGCUUUGUUCCUGCCAUGCCCUGAACACUGGGAGGGAUAUGAGACCCUGGGAGUUUCACUGAAGCACUGUAACACACAGACGCACACACAGAAUCUGUCCAACAAGCCCGCUCUCAUGUGUGCCUCAUUCGGGUGAUUCGGCACACAGCGGACAAACAGCUGUCAGAUGUACAGUGUAUAUAAGGUGCUAUAAACAUAUUAACUAGUAUUAUUUUAGACACAAACACUUUUUUUUAAACAACCACUUUGUCCCAACUGUACACUGUUAAUAAUAGCAUCUGUAAGGUUUCCCAAAAGACUCAUUAUCUACACUAAGUGAAUUUGUUAUUCGAUUUUCCAUGCACAAGGAAUUGUAUGUGAUUAUUAUGAGCAACAUUGUAAGAAUAUU
Molecule: long non-coding RNA, 3230 nt
Organism: Silurus meridionalis
Lineage: Eukaryota; Metazoa; Chordata; Actinopteri; Siluriformes; Siluridae
Exons: 3
Source: RefSeq, a predicted model, not a curated record